This 274-nucleotide ribosomal RNA is filed under the name uncultured bacterium. RNAcentral's name for it is "partial 16S ribosomal RNA". It matches the Rfam family "Bacterial small subunit ribosomal RNA", at positions 897 to 1172 of the family's 1533-position model. The record is from RNAcentral.
AAACUCAAAGGAAUUGACGGGGGCCCGCACAAGCGGCGGAGCAUGUGGAUUAAUUCGAUGCAACGCGAAGAACCUUACCUGGGUUUGACAUGCACAGGAUCGCCUCAGAGAUGGGGUUUCCCUUGUGGUCUGUGUACAGGUGGUGCAUGGCUGUCGUCAGCUCGUGUCGUGAGAUGUUGGGUUAAGUCCCGUAACGAGCGCAACCCUUGUCCUACGUUGCCAGCGGGUUAUGCCGGGGACUCGUGGGAGACUGCCGGGGUCAACUCGGAGGAAG